UUCACUGGUCGCACUAAAAUAAUUUAUUCUUUUAAGUCUUCGGCUAUCCUCAUUUCUAACAAGAGAGAUAUUAACAUUACAUUGUGAUCCAUUUUACUAUGAUAAAUAUUCCUUGCGACAUAAUAAAAAAGCCUUGGUUUGUAAUAAUUACAAAAUGUCACUAAGUAUUUAUAUACAUAUAUAGCUUUUAUUGUAAAGAUGAGUUCUUAAAUAAAAACGUGUGAAGUUUUUAUUCAUUUGUGCAUCUUUAUAAAUACAGGCUCACCGAGAGAUUGACAAGUGUUAUGCUCUGCUUCGUUGGAGAAUUUUCCUUGCUUUGAUAUAAUAUAUAUUUAACAUUAUAUUAUUAAAAAAAAAAGAAUUAAGUACGUAAUAAUUAUGUUAAAGAUGUUUAAAAUAUUGUACAUCGUGCUUGUAUCGGCGGCUUUGGUUUACGGAAAAACUAGCUUCGUAAGCAUUCCUCCGGAGUUAUUAUCGAAUAUGUUUCGUCGUUCCACGGAAUGCGUUGAAAAAACCGGCAUCGAUGCUGAAUCGUUGCAAAAAAUCCUUGUCUGGAAAUUAGAAGAUACAGAAAGCACUAGAAAUUAUAUAUACUGUUUCGCUAAGUCAAUCGGAUACGCAGAUGAGGACGGUUACCUUGUGAAAGACAGAAUUAUGAAACUAGCUGGUAAUCACAGGAGCAAAAAUGAACUUGGUAAAGUUAUCGAUGAGUGCAAUGGUUCAAAAGGAUCUAGUAAGGAUGAAAUUAUGUACAAAACGGCGGUAUGUUUCCUUCAAAAGUCACCGAUUUUAUUUACAUUGUAAUUAUUAGUUAAAAAAACUCUGUUCUUAUACUAUA
Molecule: long non-coding RNA, 838 nt
Organism: Vanessa tameamea
Lineage: Eukaryota; Metazoa; Arthropoda; Insecta; Lepidoptera; Nymphalidae
Exons: 2
Source: RefSeq, a predicted model, not a curated record